RNAcentral lists this transfer RNA (63 nucleotides) under Cavia porcellus (domestic guinea pig). It matches the Rfam family "tRNA", at positions 5 to 66 of the family's 71-position model. Rfam says of the family: Transfer RNA (tRNA) molecules are approximately 80 nucleotides in length. Their secondary structure includes four short double-helical elements and three loops (D, anti-codon, and T loops). Lineage: Eukaryota; Metazoa; Chordata; Mammalia; Rodentia; Caviidae. The record is from Rfam by way of RNAcentral.
AUGUAGUUCAGUGGUAGAACACUUGCUUAGCAUGCAUGAGGUCCUGGAUUUGAUCUUCAGCAU